RNAcentral lists this ribosomal RNA (390 nucleotides) under uncultured beta proteobacterium. RNAcentral's name for it is "bacterial SSU rRNA". It matches the Rfam family "Bacterial small subunit ribosomal RNA", at positions 502 to 892 of the family's 1533-position model. Lineage: Bacteria; Pseudomonadati; Pseudomonadota; Betaproteobacteria. The record is from RNAcentral.
UACGUGCCAGCAGCCGCGGUAAUACGUAGGGUGCGAGCGUUAAUCGGAAUUACUGGGCGUAAAGCGUGCGCAGGCGGUUAUGUAAGACAGAUGUGAAAUCCCCGGGCUCAACCUGGGAACUGCAUUUGWGACUGCAUGGCUAGAGUACGGUAGAGGGGGAUGGAAUUCCGCGUGUAGCAGURAAAUGCGUAGAUAUGCGGAGGAACACCGAUGGCGAAGGCAAUCCCCUGGACCUGUACUGACGYUCAUGCACGAAAGCGUGGGGAGCAAACAGGAUUAGAUACCCUGGUAGUCCACGCCYUAAACGAUGUCAACUGGUUGUUGGGAAUUAGUUUUCUCAGUAACGAAGCUAACGCGUGAAGUUGACCGCCUGGGGAGUACGGCCGCAAG